RNAcentral lists this ribosomal RNA (548 nucleotides) under uncultured Glomus. RNAcentral's name for it is "SSU rRNA". It matches the Rfam family "Eukaryotic small subunit ribosomal RNA", at positions 548 to 1098 of the family's 1831-position model. Lineage: Eukaryota; Fungi; Glomeromycota; Glomeromycetes; Glomerales; Glomeraceae. The record is from RNAcentral.
UUGGAGGGCAAGUCUGGUGCCAGCAGCCGCGGUAAUUCCAGCUCCAAUAGCGUAUAUUAAAGUUGUUGCAGUUAAAAAGCUCGUAGUUGAAUUUCGGGGUCAGCAGGUUGGUCGUGCCAACGGUAUGUACUGGCUUUGCUGAUUCCUCCUUCUUGUAGAACUGUAAUGCCAUUAAUUUGGUGUUGCAGGGAAACAGGACUGUUACUUUGAAAAAAUUAGAGUGUUUAAAGCAGGCUUACGCUUGAAUACAUUAGCAUGGAAUAAUGAAAUAGGACGUUGAUCCUAUUUUGUUGGUUUCUAGGAUUGACGUAAUGAUUAAUAGGGAUAGUUGGGGGCAUUAGUAUUCAAUUGUCAGAGGUGAAAUUCUUGGAUUUAUUGAAGACUAACUACUGCGAAAGCAUUUGCCAAGGAUGUUUUCAUUAAUCAAGAACGAAAGUUAGGGGAUCGAAGACGAUCAGAUACCGUCGUAGUCUUAACCAUAAACUAUGCCGACUGGGGAUCGGAUGAUGUUAAUUUUUUAAUGACUCAUUCGGCGCCUUACGGGAAAC